GGUAGCAUGGGCCGAGAGGUCUAAGGCGCUGGUUUAAGGCACCAGUAAUUUCGAUGGCGUGGGUUCGAAUCCCACUGCUGCCA
Molecule: non-coding RNA, 83 nt
Organism: Ciona savignyi (Pacific transparent sea squirt)
Lineage: Eukaryota; Metazoa; Chordata; Ascidiacea; Phlebobranchia; Cionidae
Source: Rfam